Molecule: ribosomal RNA, 1067 nt
Filed under: uncultured Campylobacterota bacterium
Lineage: Bacteria; Pseudomonadati; Campylobacterota
Description: bacterial SSU rRNA
Rfam family: Bacterial small subunit ribosomal RNA
Source: RNAcentral
GCUGGCGGCGUGCUUAACACAUGUCAAGUCGAACGAGAACGGUCCUAGCUUGCUAGGAUGUCAGCUAAGUGGCGGACGGGUGAGUAAUGUAUAGUUAAUUUGCCCCUUAGAGAGGGAUAACUACUGGAAACGGUAGCUAAUACCUCAUACUCCUUCUUUCUUAAUGAGAGUUGGGAAAUGUUUUUUCGCUAAGGGAUGAGACUAUAUGGUAUCAGGUAGUUGGUAGGGUAAGAGCCUACCAAGCCAAUGACGCCUAGCUGGUCUGAGAGGAUGAUCAGCCACACUGGAACUGAGACACGGUCCAGACUCCUACGGGAGGCAGCAGUGGGGAAUAUUGCACAAUGGAGGAAACUCUGAUGCAGCAACGCCGCGUGGAGGAUGACACAUUUCGGUGCGUAAACUCCUUUUAUAUGGGAAGAUAAUGACGGUACCAUAUGAAUAAGCACCGGCUAACUCCGUGCCAGCAGCCGCGGUAAUACGGAGGGUGCAAGCGUUACUCGGAAUCACUGGGCGUAAAGCGCGCGCAGGCGGCUAUUUAAGUUGGAUGUGAAAGCCUACAGCUCAACUGUAGAACUGCAUCCAAAACUAUUUAGCUAGAGUGUGGGAGAGGAAGAUGGAAUUAGUUGUGUAGGGGUAAAAUCCGUAGAGAUAACUAGGAAUACCAAAAGCGAAGGCAAUCUUCUGGAACACUACUGACGCUGAGGCGCGAAAGCGUGGGGAGCAAACGGGAUUAGAUACCCCGGUAGUCCACGCAGUAAACGAUGAAUGUUAGUCGUCGGGGGCCUAGUGUCUUCGGUGAUGCAGCUAACGCAUUAAACAUUCCGCCUGGGGAGUACGGUCGCAAGAUUAAAACUCAAAGGAAUAGACGGGGACCCGCACAAGUGGUGGAGCAUGUGGUUUAAUUCGAAGAUACGCGAAGAACCUUACCUAGCCUUGACAUAUUUUAGAACACUUUAGAAGAUAGAGUGGUGCCUUCGGGAGCUAAUUUACAGGUGCUGCACGGCUGUCGUCAGCUCGUGUCGUGAGAUGUUGGGUUAAGUCCCGCAACGAGCGCAGCCCUCGUCACU